RNAcentral lists this non-coding RNA (28 nucleotides) under Homo sapiens (human). Lineage: Eukaryota; Metazoa; Chordata; Mammalia; Primates; Hominidae. The record is from RNAcentral.
UCUGGACUGUAUGGUCUGGAAACAGGGC